CCAGAUAAGCAAAUACGAGCGUCAGGGCUGGACAUAACAUAUUUAUGAGAUGUGAUGGUCUCUGUUAAACUUUGGAGAACAGAAGAGACCCCAGUACAAUCAACACACACCAUGUUCUCUACAUCUCUACUGCUCCUGCUGGCAGCUGCUUCCUAUGUGCAUGGUAUUGAACUGACUCAGCCUGCUUCCAUGACAGUCCAGCCAGGCCAGAGUCUCUCCAUCAACUGCAAGGUUUCAUAUUCAGUUACCAGCGACCAUACAGCUUGGAUCCGACAACCUGCAGGAAAAGCUCUGGAGUGGAUUGGAAACAUCUAUAGCAGUGGGGGUACAGCUUACAUUGACAAACUGAAAAAUAAGUUCAGCAUCUCCAGAGACACUGCUACUAACACAAUAACAAUUGGAGGACAGAAUCUGCAAACUGAAGACACAGCUGUGUAUUACUGUGCAAGAUACACAGUGCCUCAGAAUAGUGGAUUCCCUUUCCAAAAACUUUAAAACAUGUUAGAGACAUCAUCUCAAUGUUACUAAUAAUCUCAGUCAAACUUUUACUUUCUUCCACUGUAACGAAGUUGUAAUUGCUUGUCAUUU
Ictalurus punctatus (channel catfish) is the source of this 588-nucleotide non-coding RNA. The record is from the annotation of a RefSeq genome assembly. Lineage: Eukaryota; Metazoa; Chordata; Actinopteri; Siluriformes; Ictaluridae.